UACAGAGGGUGCGAGCGUUAAUCGGAAUUACUGGGCGUAAAGCGCGCGUAGGCGGUCUAUUAAGUCAGAUGUGAAAUCCCAGGGCUCAACCUUGGAACUGCAUCUGAUAUUGGUAGACUAGAGUUUUGGAGAGGGAAGUAGAAUUUCAGGUGUAGCGGUGAAAUGCAUAGAGAUCUGAAGGAAUACCAGUGGCGAAGGCGACUUCCUGGCCAAAAACUGACGCUGAGGUGCGAAAGCGUGGGUAGCAAACGGGAUUAGAAACCCUAGUAGUCC
RNAcentral lists this ribosomal RNA (273 nucleotides) under uncultured bacterium. RNAcentral describes it as "partial 16S ribosomal RNA". It matches the Rfam family "Bacterial small subunit ribosomal RNA", at positions 524 to 796 of the family's 1533-position model. The record is from RNAcentral.